GUUUUCCUACGGGGGGCAGCAGUGGGGGAUAUUGGACAAUGGGGGGAACCCUGAUCCAGCGACGCCGCGUGAGUGAAGAAGUAUUUCGGUAUGUAAAGCUCUGUCAGCAGGGAAGAAAAUGACGGUACCUGACCAAGAAGCCCCGGCUAAAUACGUGCCAGCAGCCGCGGUAAUACGUAUGGGGCAAGCGUUAUCCGGAUUUACUGGGUGUAAAGGGAGCGUAGGCGGCAGGGCAAGCCUGAUGUGAAAGCCCGGGGCUCAACCCCGGGACUGCAUUGGGAACUGCCCUGCUGGAGUGCCGGAGG
This 305-nucleotide ribosomal RNA is filed under the name uncultured bacterium. RNAcentral's name for it is "bacterial SSU rRNA". It matches the Rfam family "Bacterial small subunit ribosomal RNA", at positions 333 to 655 of the family's 1533-position model. The record is from RNAcentral.